ACUGUGUGAUGAUAUCCCACUGACUGAACACUCUGUAGUUGGUCCUUGGCGUGUGUAUGAUUGAUCUUGGUGUUUCAAGACGGGACUGAUGGUGGC
Small nucleolar RNA from Laticauda laticaudata (blue-ringed sea krait), 96 nucleotides. Its record names the gene SNORD21. It matches the Rfam family "Small nucleolar RNA SNORD21". From Rfam's summary of the family: U21 is a member of the C/D class of snoRNA which contain the C (UGAUGA) and D (CUGA) box motifs. U21 is encoded within an intron of the gene for ribosomal protein L5 in mammals, but within introns of the ADP ribosylation factor gene in Drosophila. U21 snoRNA has a 13 nt region of complementarity with an invariant region of eukaryotic 28S ribosomal RNA. The record is from Ensembl. Lineage: Eukaryota; Metazoa; Chordata; Lepidosauria; Squamata; Elapidae.